GUGGGGAAUCUUGCGCAAUGGGCGAAAGCCUGACGCAGCCAUGCCGCGUGGAUGAUGAAGGUCUUAGGAUUGUAAAAUCCUUUCACCGGUGAAGAUAAUGACUGUAGCCGGAGAAGAAGCCCCGGCUAACUUCGUGCCAGCAGCCGCGGUAAUACGAAGGGGGCUAGCGUUGCUCGGAUUUACUGGGCGUAAAGGGCGCGUAGGCGGACAUUUAAGUCAGGGGUGAAAUCCCGGGGCUCAACCUCGGAACUGCCGUUGAUACUGGGUGUCUUGAGUAUGAGAGAGGUGUGUGGAACUCCGAGUGUAGAGGUGAAAUUCGUAGAUAUUCGGAAGAACACCAGUGGCGAAGGCGACACACUGGCUCAUUACUGACGCUGAGGCGCGAAAGCGUGGGGAGCAAACAGGAUUAGAUACCCCGGUAGUC
RNAcentral lists this ribosomal RNA (424 nucleotides) under uncultured bacterium. RNAcentral describes it as "partial 16S ribosomal RNA". It matches the Rfam family "Bacterial small subunit ribosomal RNA", at positions 354 to 795 of the family's 1533-position model. The record is from RNAcentral.